RNAcentral lists this ribosomal RNA (731 nucleotides) under Cladosporium sp. RNAcentral describes it as "partial large subunit ribosomal RNA". It matches the Rfam family "Eukaryotic large subunit ribosomal RNA", at positions 70 to 817 of the family's 3401-position model. Lineage: Eukaryota; Fungi; Ascomycota; Dothideomycetes; Cladosporiales; Cladosporiaceae. The record is from RNAcentral.
AGGGAUUGCUCUAGUAACGGCGAGUGAAGCAGCAAUAGCUCAAAUUUGAAAUCUGGCGUCUUCGACGUCCGAGUUGUAAUUUGUAGAGGAUGCUUCUGAGUGGCCACCGACCUAAGUUCCUUGGAACAGGACGUCAUAGAGGGUGAGAAUCCCGUAUGCGGUCGGAAAGGCGCUCUAUACGUAGCUCCUUCGACGAGUCGAGUUGUUUGGGAAUGCAGCUCUAAAUGGGAGGUAAAUUUCUUCUAAAGCUAAAUAUUGGCCAGAGACCGAUAGCGCACAAGUAGAGUGAUCGAAAGAUGAAAAGCACUUUGGAAAGAGAGUUAAAAAGCACGUGAAAUUGUUAAAAGGGAAGGGAUUGCAACCAGACUUGCUCGCGGUGUUCCGCCGGUCUUCUGACCGGUCUACUCGCCGCGUUGCAGGCCAGCAUCGUCUGGUGCCGCUGGAUAAGACUUGAGGAAUGUAGCUCCCUCGGGAGUGUUAUAGCCUCUUGUGAUGCAGCGAGCGCCGGGCGAGGUCCGCGCUUCGGCUAGGAUGCUGGCGUAAUGGUCGUAAUCCGCCCGUCUUGAAACACGGACCAAGGAGUCUAACAUCUAUGCGAGUGUUCGGGUGUCAAACCCCCUACGCGUAAUGAAAGUGAACGGGAGGUGAGAACCCGCAAGGGUGCAUCAUCCGACCGAUCCCUGAUGUCUUCCGGAUGGAUUUUGAGUAAGAAGCAUAAGCUGUUGGGGACC